RNAcentral lists this ribosomal RNA (460 nucleotides) under uncultured bacterium. Its description in RNAcentral is "partial 16S ribosomal RNA". It matches the Rfam family "Bacterial small subunit ribosomal RNA", at positions 338 to 795 of the family's 1533-position model. The record is from RNAcentral.
CCUACGGGAGGCAGCAGUGAGGAAUAUUGGUCAAUGGACGAGAGUCUGAACCAGCCAAGUAGCGUGAAGGAUGACUGCCCUAUGGGUUGUAAACUUCUUUUAUAAAGGAAUAAAACGAGGCACGUGUGCCUUUUUGCAUGUACUUUAUGAAUAAGGAUCGGCUAACUCCGUGCCAGCAGCCGCGGUAAUACGGAGGAUCCGAGCGUUAUCCGGAUUUAUUGGGUUUAAAGGGAGCGUAGAUGGGUUGUUAAGUCAGUUGUGAAAGUUUGCGGCUCAACCGUAAAAUUGCAAUUGAUACUGGCAUUCUUGAGUACAGUUGAGGUAAGCGGAAUUCGUGGUGUAGCGGUGAAAUGCUUAGAUAUCACGAAGAACCCCGAUUGCGAAGGCAGCUUACUAAACUGUGACUGACAUUGAUGCUCGAAAGUGUGGGUAUCAAACAGGAUUAGAUACCCCUGUAGUC